CGCGGGGGGGCGGCCUACCAUGCAGUCGAGCGCGAACGGUCCUUCGGGACUGAUUAGAGCGGCGGACGGGGGAGUAAUGCGCAGGAAUUUGCCCAGCAGUGGGGGAUAGCCCGGAGAAAUCCGGAUUAAUACCGCAUAUACCCUACGGGAAAGAAGGGGACUCUUCGGAGCCUUUCGCGAUUGGAUGUGCCCAAGUGGGAUUAGCUAGUUGGUGAGGUAAAGGCUCACCAAGGCAACGAUCCCUAGCUGGUUUGAGAGGAUGAUCAGCCACACUGGAACUGAGACACGGUCCAGACUCCUACGGGAGGCAGCAGUGGGGAAUAUUGCACAAUGGGCGCAAGCCUGAUGCAGCCAUGCCGCGUGUAUGAAGAAGGCCUUCGGGUUGUAAAGUACUUUCAGCGAGGAGGAAAGGGUGUAGGUUAAUAACCUGCAUCUGUGACGUUACUCGCAGAAGAAGGACCGGCUAACUCCGUGCCAGCAGCCGCGGUAAUACGGAGGGUCCGAGCGUUAAUCGGAAUUACUGGGCGUAAAGCGUACGCAGGCGGUUUGUUAAGCGAGAUGUGAAAGCCCCGGGCUCAACCUGGGAACUGCAUUUCGAACUGACAAACUAGAGUUUUGUAGAGGGUGGUAGAAUUUCCAGUGUAGCGGUGAAAUGCGUAGAGAUUGGAAGGAACAUCAGUGGCGAAGGCGGCCACCUGGACAGAUACUGACGCUGAGGCACGAAAGCGUGGGGAGCAAACAGGAUUAGAUACCCUGGUAGUCCACGCCGUAAACGAUGUCAACUAGCUGUCUGUAGACUUGAUCUGUGGGUAGCGCAGCUAACGCGAUAAGUUGACCGCCUGGGGAGUACGGCCGCAAGGUUAAAAACUCAAAUGAAUUGACGGGGGCCCGCACAAGCGGUGGAGCAUGUGGUUUUAAUUCGAUGCAACGCGAAGAACCUUACCAUCCCUUGACAUCCAGAGAAGCGACAAGAGAUAGACGUGUGCCUUCGGGAUCUCUGUGACAGGUGCUGCAUGGCUGUCGUCAGCUCGUGUUGUGAAAUGUUGGGUUAAGUCCCGCAAACGAGCGCACCCUUAUUCCUUAUGCAGCGAGUAAUGUCGGACUUAAGAGACUGCCGGUGAUAACGGAGGAAGGGGGGCACUACCAUCAGUCAUUCAUGCUUACAGGAUUGGUUACCACUGCUACAAUGGCGAUUACAAGGGAAAGCGAGAAACUCUCAAAGUUGAGA
This 1228-nucleotide ribosomal RNA is filed under the name uncultured prokaryote. RNAcentral describes it as "partial 16S ribosomal RNA". It matches the Rfam family "Bacterial small subunit ribosomal RNA", at positions 34 to 1268 of the family's 1533-position model. The record is from RNAcentral.